GCUUGGGAAUAUGCCUUAUGGUGGGGGACAACAGUUGGAAACGACUGCUAAUACCGCAUGAUGUCUACGGACCAAAGUGGGGGACCUUCGGGCCUCACGCCAUAAGAUUAGCCCAAGUGGGAUUAGCUAGUUGGUGAGGUAAUGGCUCACCAAGGCGACGAUCCCUAGCUGGUUUGAGAGGAUGAUCAGCCACACUGGGACUGAGACACGGCCCAGACUCCUACGGGAGGCAGCAGUGGGGAAUAUUGCACAAUGGGCGCAAGCCUGAUGCAGCCAUGCCGCGUGUGUGAAGAAGGCCUUCGGGUUGUAAAGCACUUUCAGUAAGGAGGAAAGGUUAAGUGUUAAUAGCGCUUAGCUGUGACGUUACUUACAGAAGAAGCACCGGCUAACUCCGUGCCAGCAGCCGCGGUAAUACGGAGGGUGCGAGCGUUA
This 432-nucleotide ribosomal RNA is filed under the name Pseudoalteromonas shioyasakiensis. RNAcentral describes it as "bacterial SSU rRNA". It matches the Rfam family "Bacterial small subunit ribosomal RNA", at positions 115 to 543 of the family's 1533-position model. Lineage: Bacteria; Pseudomonadati; Pseudomonadota; Gammaproteobacteria; Alteromonadales; Pseudoalteromonadaceae. The record is from RNAcentral.